CGCAGGGGCCGGGAGCAAGUGCACGCCGCGCGGAGGACGAAGAGGCUGCACGCACAGCCGCUGCCGGGGGUCGGGGCCAAGUGCGCGCCUCGCCGAGGACGAAGAGGCUGGCGUGCCCGGUGGCUCGGCUAGCUCCCGGGUCCCGGCCCCGCCUGGAGGAUGGAGUUCCUCUCUUGUGGCCCAGGCUGGAGUGCAAUAGCACCAUCUCGGCUCACUGCAACCUCUGCCUCCCAGGUUCAAGUGAUUCUCCUGCCUUAGCCUCCUGAGUAGCUAGGAUUACAGAUUUAUAGGAGCAUUGUGACUGGACCAAGGACAAAGAAGUUCCCAACCUCCUCAGACCCUCGCUGCUGCCCAGAUGUCUGCCAUGGGGUGGCCAUCAUCGAAUCCACUGAGGGCGCAAAUAGAACAAAAAGGUGAAGAAAAGGUGAAUUCUCUCCUUUCUUGAGCUGGGACAUCCAACUUCUCAGACAUCAGAGCUCCUGGAGGCCUUCAGACUCCGAGACAUUACACCAUUGGCUCACCUGGUCCUCAGGUCUUUGGACUUGGAAUGAAUUACACCAUUGGCUUUCCAGGUCUUCCAGCUUGCAGAUGGCAGAUUGUGGGACUUUUCAGCCUCCAUAACUUUGUCAUCCAAUUCCCAUAAUAAAUCGCCUCUUAUAUCUGU
RNAcentral lists this long non-coding RNA (664 nucleotides) under Homo sapiens (human). The record is from RNAcentral. Lineage: Eukaryota; Metazoa; Chordata; Mammalia; Primates; Hominidae.